This is a non-coding RNA of Zootermopsis nevadensis, 1669 nucleotides long. NCBI's taxonomy places the organism in Eukaryota, Metazoa, Arthropoda, Insecta, Blattodea, Termopsidae. The record is from RefSeq and is a predicted model, not a curated record.
UCUAGAACUUUAACAUCAUGUCGCUGCUUCAACGCUUUUACGAAGACAUGCCGCGAGGUGGAGCCUAUGUAUGUACGCAGAUGCUGGUUAAUGGUGGCAGUUCUGCGAGGUGCAGUGUACGCCAUGGGCGGUCGACAUUAUAGACUGGUUUACAGAUCGGUUGAAAGAUACGACUGCAAAUCGAACCAGUGGUCUUUCAUCAGUCCCAUGAACACACAGCGAGCCAGUGCAGCAGCGGCUGUACUGAAUGACAAAAUAUACGUCGCUGGUGGAAUUGAUGAUACGGAUUUUCUAAACACGGUGGAAGUUUAUGACCCGGACACCGACCGAUGGACGUUCGUUGCACCAAUGCUUUCUGAACGUAGGUGGUUUGCUUGCGUCCCGUUCCACGGCUAUCUGUACGCCCUAGGUACAAAGUGACAGACAUGAAUGAUUAUAGAUCUUAUAUGUCGAUAUGUGUCGUCAAGAACCUACCGAAAGCAAACGAUUACGCCUACAAACCCAGAUAGAAAUUGAUGGUGGAGAAACGCAAAAAAGAAGCAGAAGAACGUAAAAAAGGAAGAGGUGAAACGCAAAGAACGAAGUAGAAGAAAGAUCCAGAAUUAUCUUCAUCAAAUUGAUGACACAGAUUUGAAGCUAACCACUUCAAAGUCCUUAACCAUGCGUUCGCUUGUGGAGUUUGUAUAUCAUUUGCUGUCUAACUUUUCAAAGAAACACAUUAUAAAUAUGAGUAACUACGCUGAUGAAAUUCCCCACCUGACCGAGAGGCUCGGAUUUCCAGGCAGCGUUAAGAAAUCCUGGCUAAUUACAGGUUUGUAACCUACAAGUUAAAACAAAUUGUCAUUACUCCAUUUUCAUAACCAAUUACUUGUUACCAUUUGUGUACCAGCCAGCUCUUCAUUUCCGCCAAUAUAAUUUGUCUCAUCUCACUUACUAAGUAAUCCAUAAACAUACCAAUACACACUCACCCUGAAAAUGGUACAUUCAGUGUUUACGAAAAUGUUGGAUUGCUUUCAUCAUUCAACAUGGACAUCACUGAAAGCCAAAGCUGUACACUGGAUUUCAGUUGCAAACACUGAAGUACAGGAAGUCUUGUAAUUGUUUAUGUACAUAAUUUGUAUAAUAUUUGCAGCAAACUCGUCUCACUCGUGGCCUAAUGUCAUUGGUCUACUGUCCUGGUUGGUAGAUAUGGUUAGAACUUACAGACCCGAGAUGUUGAGCAUGAUUAUGUUUCCUCCUGAAGGUGAGGAAGAUGUAGAUGAAAGCAAUCUCGAUACACAGGUAAUUACUUCUUGUUUGUUUUUCUUCCCCAUGGUCCUUCUGAUAAGAUAAUUAGGUACAGUAAGACUGUAAUCUUGCGACUUGCAAGGAAUGCAGGAAGUCCGAAGCGUUAGAGGCUGACGCUAUCUUUUCUCCUUUACCCCACUUUGUCACCCAGCAAGUCUCAAGAUUACAAUCAUGGACUAUAUAAUUCACAUUUCAUAAAAGAUCUAUGAACAUUGAGAAAAUAAAUAUUAUGUUAUGUGCAUAUUUGUUGUGUGCAGUUAUUACCCUUCGUCCUUUGAUCAAACAGGCCAAGUGGUAAAUGGAUUAUCGUGGAAUAAAAGCAUGCAGCUCAUAUUUCAUGAUUUUCUUUGUGUGUAGUUGUAGUUUUGACAGCCACGGUGGU